Molecule: ribosomal RNA, 1341 nt
Filed under: uncultured bacterium
Lineage: Bacteria
Description: 16S ribosomal RNA
Rfam family: Bacterial small subunit ribosomal RNA
Source: RNAcentral
GACGAACGCUGGCGGCGUGCUUAACACAUGCAAGUCGAACGGUAAGGCUCCAGCUUGCUGGGGUACACGAGUGGCGAACGGGUGAGUAACACGUGGGUGACCCGCCCUGCACUUCGGGAUAAGCCUGGGAAACUGGGUCUAAUACCGGAUAGGACUGCACCGUGAGGGUGUGGUGGAAAGUUUUUUCGGUGUGAGAUGGGCCCGCGGCCUAUCAUCUUGUUGGUGGGGUAAUGGCCUACCAAGGCGGCGACGGGUAGCCAGCCUGAGAGGGUGGACGGCCACAUUGGGACUGAGACACGGCCCAGACUCCUACGGGAGGCAGCAGUGGGGAAUAUUGCACAAUGGGCGGAAGCCUGAUGCAACGACGCCGCGUGGGGGAUGACGGCCUUCGGGUUGUAAACUCCUUUCACCAUCGACGAAGGGUUUCUGACGGUAGAUGGAGAAGAAGCACCGGCUAACUACGUGCCAGCAGCCGCGGUAAUACAUAGGGUGCGAGCGUUGUCCGGAAUUACUGGGCGUAAAGAGCUCGUAGGUGGUUUGUCGCGUCGUCUGUGAAUUCCGGGGCUUAACUCCGGGCGUGCAGGCGAUACGGGCAUAACUUGAGUACUGUAAGGGGAGACUGGAAUUCCUGGUGUAGCGGUGAAAUGCGCAUAUAUCAGGAAGAACACCGGUGGCGAAGGCGGGUCUCUGGGCAGUAACUGACGCUGAGGAGCGAAAGCGUGGGGAGCGAGCAGGAUUAGAUACCCUGGUAGUCCAUGCCGUAAACGGUGGGCGCUAGGUGUGGGUUUCCUUCCACGGGAUCCGUGCCGUAGCUAACGCAUUAAGCGCCCCGCCUGGGGAGUACGGCCGCAAGGCUAAAACUCAAAGGAAUUGACGGGGGCCCGCACAAGCGGCGGAGCAUGUGGAUUAAUUCGAUGCAACGCGAAGAACCUUACCUGGGCUUGACAUAUACAGGAUCGCGCCAGAGAUGGUGUUUCCCUUGUGGCUUGUAUACAGGUGGUGCAUGGUUGUCGUCAGCUCGUGUCGUGAGAUGUUGGGUUAAGUCCCGCAACGAGCGCAACCCUUGUCUUAUGUUGCCAGCACGUUGUGGUGGGGACUCGUAAGAAACUGCCGGGGUUAACUCGGAGGAAGGUGGGGAUGACGUCAAAUCAUCAUGCCCCUUAUGUCCAGGGCUUCACACAUGCUACAAUGGUCGGUACAGUGGGUUGCCAGUCCGUGAGGGCGAGCUAAUCCCGCAAAGCCGGUCUCAGUUCGGAUCGGGGUCUGCAACUCGACCCCGUGAAGUCGGAGUCGCUAGUAAUCGCAGAUCAGCAACGCUGCGGUGAAUACGUUCCCGGGCCU